RNAcentral lists this ribosomal RNA (253 nucleotides) under uncultured bacterium. Its description in RNAcentral is "partial 16S ribosomal RNA". It matches the Rfam family "Bacterial small subunit ribosomal RNA", at positions 524 to 776 of the family's 1533-position model. The record is from RNAcentral.
UACGUAGGGUGCAAGCGUUGUCCGGAAUUACUGGGCGUAAAGCGUGCGCAGGCGGCUUCGCAAGUCAGACGUGAAAUCCCCGGGCUUAACCUGGGAAUGGCGUUUGAAACUACGGAGCUGGAGUGUGGCAGAGGGAGGUAGAAUUCCACGUGUAGCGGUGAAAUGCGUAGAUAUGUGGAGGAAUACCGAUGGCGAAGGCAGCCUCCUGGGCCAACACUGACGCUCAUGCACGAAAGCGUGGGGAGCAAACAGG